RNAcentral lists this ribosomal RNA (468 nucleotides) under uncultured bacterium. RNAcentral's name for it is "partial 16S ribosomal RNA". It matches the Rfam family "Bacterial small subunit ribosomal RNA", at positions 28 to 507 of the family's 1533-position model. The record is from RNAcentral.
GACGAACGCUGGCGGUGUGCUUAACACAUGCAAGUCGAACGGUAAGGCCCUUUCGGGGGUACACGAGUGGCGAACGGGUGAGUAACACGUGAGUAACCUGCCCUCAUCUCUGGGAUAACAGUCGGAAACGGUUGCUAAUACUGGAUAUGAGCUUGCAAGGCAUCUUGUGGGUUGGAAAGAUUUUUUUUGGUUGGGGAUGGACUCGCGGCCUAUCAGCUUGUUGGUGAGGUAGUGGCUCACCAAGGCUUCGACGGGUAGCCGGCCUGAGAGGGCGACCGGCCACAUUGGGACGGAGAUACGGCCCAAACUCCUACGGGAGGCAGCAGUGGGGAAUAUUGCACAAUGGACGGAAGUCUGAUGCAGCAACGCCGCGUGCGGGAUGACGGCCUUCGGGUUGUAAACCGCUGUCAAUUGUGACGAAGCUUUUUUGUGACGGUAGCAGUAGAAGAAGCACCGGCUAACUACGUG